Molecule: unclassified non-coding RNA, 378 nt
Filed under: plant metagenome
Description: partial contains 5.8S ribosomal RNA, internal transcribed spacer 2, and large subunit ribosomal RNA
Rfam family: 5.8S ribosomal RNA (bases 1-105)
Source: RNAcentral
GAAAUGCGAUAAGUAAUGUGAAUUGCAGAAUUCAGUGACUCAUCGAAUCUUUGAACGCACCUUGCGCUCCUUGGUAUUCCUUGGAGCAUGCCUGUUUGAGUAUCAUGAAAUCUUCAAAGUAAAUCUUUUGUUAACUCAAUUGGUUUCUACUUUGGUAUUGGAGGUCUUUGCAGCUUCACACCUGCUCCUCUUUGUUCAUUAGCUGGAUCUCAGUGUUAUGCUUGGUUCCACUCGGCGUGAUAAGUUAUCUAUCGCUGAGGACACUGUAAAAGGUGGCCAAGGUAAAUUCAGAUGAACCGCUUCUAAUAGUCCAUUGACUUGGACAAUACUUUUAUGAUCUGAUCUCAAAUCAGGUAGGACUACCCGCUGAACUUAAGC